UUGCUUUGGCAGCAUGUUUACUAAAGUUGGAAUACUACAGAGAAGUAAGCAUGGGCCCUGCAAAUUCGAGAAGCGUUUCGUAUUUUU
This 87-nucleotide small nuclear RNA is filed under the name Balaenoptera musculus (blue whale). Lineage: Eukaryota; Metazoa; Chordata; Mammalia; Artiodactyla; Balaenopteridae. The record is from RNAcentral.